RNAcentral lists this long non-coding RNA (2222 nucleotides) under Heterocephalus glaber (naked mole-rat). RNAcentral describes it as "lncRNA (ENSHGLG00100033521.1)". The record is from RNAcentral. Lineage: Eukaryota; Metazoa; Chordata; Mammalia; Rodentia; Bathyergidae.
AUGCAGGCUGGGGAGGAAGAGAGGAGCCACGUGUCCCAAGCGAAGCACUUGAGUUCCAUCUCACAGGCUGUCUGAGGUCCGAGGUGGCAUUUGGGCAGGGAGGAGAUCAGUUUAUAAAAGGUUCACGUGGGGGACAGAAGGGAAGACAGCGUGGUUAGAGAGAGAGAAGAGUUUCAGGUUAGAGGAGCUAGGAGAGGGGACAGUAGUUAUGAGAGAAGAUGGUGACAAACUAGACAGGGAGAAUGAUUGAUGUGAGGAAAAACUAGACUCGAGAGACAGCUGAGCAGUAGUAUUUUAGGUUUCAGAGUCGGCCCUCCUGUUGUCACCAUGGGUCACUGCUGAUGAGGAGCUGAACUGAAUGGAGCAUUUGGUAUUUUCCCUUGGAAACAAGGCUGCAGUGAUAGUUGGAUUGUGUCAACUUGAGUAAGAAACUGCCAGCUAAACUGGAUCAGUGCAGUUGUGAGUGAGGCUGAGGGCAUUAUGGAGGACAGGAGAGCCACGCUAGGCUGGCUUGUCACCUGAGUGGUACAAAAGCGAAACGAGGGAGGAAGGCUCGCUUCUGUUUCUUUGGAGGAGCUCCAGUCUUUGCCUUCCCCUCGGACGUCAUCUCCUGGCUUCCGGUGCAGACUCUCUGGCCUCCUGAUAGGGACUCGCACGGGACACUGCAGGGAGCUCCAGGCCUUCAGCUGGACCUUUCAGAUCCCCAGUGCACAGACGGACCUUUUGCACUCUUCGACCCCCGACUCUGUGUUCGGCCACUUAUACUAUGAAGUUCUCUAACCUCAGCUUUGUCAUCUGCAAAAUAGCAUCAAAAAUGUCCACUUUGUUGGAAAAUAUAUAUUCAUUGAGUACUUUCUGGUAAGUAGGAGGGACAAUGAUGAGAAGAAAAUCAAAAUGCAAAUAAUGGAUUUCUUACCAUGAUGGAAUUUAAAAGAUGAAGUCCCCAAAUUCCACUGUCUUUAAAAUUCCCAGGGUUGCUAAAGUAGUUUGUACAAAAAGAUUGUAUCUAUGAAAACCCACAAUUUGGCAAAGUGUGAUGAGAAUGAGAAGAAAUGGAGGAAAAACAGUGCUCUGUAAAUGGCAGCCAGUACUAGAAAAGAGUGGGUUUGCAUUUUUCUGACUGAAAAUGGGAAAGGAAAUAUUGGAAAUGAAUCGCAUUUCAAAGUAGGAUUUCUAUCCAGGCAAACAGAGGAGAGUCUCAUGAAUAUUCUGAUUUAAAGAUUAUACUGAUGAACAUAUCACACAUGAACUACUAAUUCUCACAAUUCUAGAAUAUGGGCUUUAUAGCCUCAGAGAUAUCCAGUCUCGGGCAAUGGUGUCCCCUCUACCUGACAGCUCCCUCUGCCCGGUAACAUCCACAAAAGACUGAGAAUAAGACUAAAGAAGGCCAAGUGAGUGUUCCAUCCUCAUACCCCUUUGCAGGAGGUACUUGUCUUACCUUCAUUUCCCAGACAAGAGCAUGGAGGUCCCCAGACAUGAAGAGACUGCCCCUGAAUCACACAUGGGUGCUAAGCAGCACUGGAAGGAAAGACAACCUUUGUAACAGCAGCACUCCUCACCUGUUAUCCAGCGCUUUCUCCUUCAGGAGGCUUGGGGUAAAGUGGAACAGCAUUGAAGAGAUUGGCCAACCAUGAAAAAAAUGGAUGAAGAAACUGUAUUUUCAAGCAAAUAAUUAUUCUGUUUAGAAGGUCAUGUGGAGAAAGUGGGAGACAGAAAUGAGGACUCACAUUUCCAUCCCCAGGGGCUAUUUGCCUGCGAGUGCCCAGUUGUUCCACACCAUUUGUUGUAAAGAUUAUCCUUUCUCCACUCAGUUGCCUUUGCACCCUUGUCAAAAAUCACUUGACUGUACAUGUGUGAGUUUAUGUUUGGACUCUGUUUCAUUGAUCUGGUUUUCCAUCCUGACACCAAUACUACAGUUUUGAUUAUUGUCACUUUGUAAUAAAUUUUGAAAUAGAAAACUGCAAGUCCUCUGUGUUUUCUUUCAAAGCUGUGUUAUUUGGAGACAGAGUCUCACUAAGUUGCUAAGUUGCACAAGCUGGGUUUGAACUUGUGAUUUCCUCUAUAUUAGACUCCAGGGAUGCUGGGAUUACAGGCUUACACCACCAUGUCUAGCUGGUCCUUUGCAUUUAUGUAUGAAUUUCACAAUCAGAUCAUUGAUGCGUACAGAAAGAGAAACUUGCUGAUAUUUUGAUUACAUUGAAUCUAUAGAUAAAUUGCAAAAG